Molecule: long non-coding RNA, 4387 nt
Organism: Felis catus (domestic cat)
Lineage: Eukaryota; Metazoa; Chordata; Mammalia; Carnivora; Felidae
Exons: 6
Source: RefSeq, a predicted model, not a curated record
GACCUGAGCCAAAGCCAACAAUCAGACACUUAACCGACUGAGCCACCCAGGCUCCCCUCAACAUUUGAUUAAUAUACAGAUAUCCAAUUGCUAUGAAUACUGUUACAAAUACAGGCUGAAAUCAUAAAAAGAGAUACCACCGUAAACUAGUGAUAGUGAUAGAAGCAAAGUGUGGUACCAGCUGCUGUAACCUGUAUAGCAAUGACCUCACAUCGUAUGCUCUGUGUUCUAUCAUCCUGUAAGUGACUACUUAAUAUUCUUGCCACACGGCUUUUAAGAAAAACUAACACAAAAAAUAAAAGCAGUUAUACCUGUGUUUGAUAUUCCUCUCAUACGUGUUCUAGGGUAAUUUGAGAGGAACUCAAAUUGCUAAUGCUGAGAGGGUUUGUUUUGUUUUGUCCUAUAGAACACCCAUUGAUGUCUCACCGACCACUAGGAGGGUUUUGCUUUGGUAAAAGAGAAAUUGAGACAUAUUAAAAAUUUUUAGAGUUUAUCUGAGCACACGUUAGUUUAAAUCGGGCAGAUUUAAGCCAGAAGUGGUUAGGAGUGUUCUACUAGUAGGAGCUAGGAGGAUGAAUUUUAUAGAGAAGACACAAAAGCAAAGCAAAGCAAAUAUUUGAUUAAGUUGUUGUCUUAUUUGGGAAAGCCUACUUGGCUGUUUGUGACUGGUUUUCCUUAGGUUUUGAUUUCUUAGCCCUGAGAUAGUUACAGGCUAUGGUUUUGGGUUGCUUACUUAGGCUGCUAAGGCAUAAGACCCACCUCAGGCUAAUCGCCUCCUUGUUUGAUUAGUUUAACAACUUUAAGAUUUUGGAAAAAAAGAAAAACACGUGAAAAUCCUUGUUUUAUUCAAUUCAUUGUUGAUUAAACAACUAGUGAUUUUUGAAACCUAUGUGCCCAGUCCUGUGUGCAGGCUUGAAAGAAUGACAAAACCCACCUGGGACCUAGUGUAUUUUUGCUUUCUUAUACUUGGCACAUUCUGCUAAAUAUAUUUAUUUACAUCCAUACGACUCCCACUUUGGACUCUGAACUUGUUGAGGGGACUGUGAUUCCUGGUACAUAGUGGUGAAUAACAGAUGUUGACAUGAACUGAACUGAAUUCUAUCUUGAAAAGAAGUACAAUCUGGUUGGUUAAAAAAGAUUUGUGUACAUAAGACAUUCAGAGAGAUUCUUUUAAUAAAAUAAAAGGGUAGGAUAACACGCAUUUUUUUUUUGUUUUAUUGACUAAAUGACCCUUCAGGGAACUUCAUCCUGAAUGGGGCCUACAGGGACUUAGAGUCAUAGAGGAAAAAGACAGCCAAUUUCAGGUAGGCAAAACAGUAGUGCUAAAAUUUCACAAAAUUUAUGUUCUAGUUUACUUGGUUCUCUAUACCUUUAAUUCUACAGAACAAUACUUUCAUGGUCAGAAGGAAGAUGCUUAUCCUUAACCAACUACUGGACUUUUCUGGCUGGUCUGUUUUUCAAAGUAUACAAAGAUAACAAGAUGGCCCCCAGUAAUCCCCAUUUCCCAGUAUUCUCAUCCUUGUGUAUUCCAGUCCCUCACGGAAUAGAACUAUAUAAACAGCAACAAACAGUAUAAACAAUAGAACAUUGGAAAAGUGGUGGCUUCUGAGGCUAGGUCACAAAAGAUAGUAUGCCUUCACCUUGCUCCCUUGGAUCACUCCCUCUGAGGAAAGCCAGCUGCCAUAUUGUAUGGACACUCAAGCAGUCUUCGGGGGAGGUAUGCAUGCCAUGUUGACUGUUCUUGCUGCCACGGGAACACUUAUCAGGAACCCCUUCAUUAUUCCGCCGAAAAAAAGUUUAUUGCACACCUGGAUGCCUUCUACAACUAUUCUGAUGAGACUCUGGCACACGUUAUUCCCACAUUUUCCAAGGCUCUUCAAGGCUCCAAGCCCUGAGGAAUUCUGUGACUUCACACUUGCUCAAAAUAUGAAUCUGAAAAUACAAUUAAUCUAUGGAAUAUAAAAAAGUCAGUUGAAAAGACUCAAUGACAUGGACCCUUCUGUAAGUGAGCAGCAAAGCAUUAACUGGUCUUAAGAGACUUGCAUCAGCAGCCAGGUACCUUGCGGUUCCCGGGAGUUCUAGAUCCCAGACUCCCUCAGCACCAUCUUCCCGGAAACACUGCUUCAGGGUCAUUACCACAAAGAGAGAAGUGUUCAAAAGCACAGGAAAUUGAAGUUUGGAAAUAUCCAGUAACUCGCUGGCCCAGUGUUAUGUCAUAUGGUUGAAGAAAAUGACUUGAGCCGAAGUCGGAUGCUUACCUGACUGAACCACCCAGCUGCCCCUGUGUACCUCCUGAAUUCAAACCCCAGCUAAGGACUUCUUUUCUUUUUAAAUUUUUAUUUAUUUCUGAGAGAGACAGAGGCAGAAUGUGAGCAGGGGAGGGGCAGAGAGAGAGAGGCAGUCACAGAAUCCGAAGCAGGCUCCAGACUCUGAGCUGUCAGCACAGAGCCCGACGUGGGGCUCGAACCCAUGAACCGUGAGAUCAGGACCUGAGCCUAAGUUGGAUGCUCAACUGACUGAGCCACCCAGGGGCCCCUAGAGAUGUCUUUUCUAGAAAGAGAUAGAUGGUAAGCACAUGAAAACUUUUCUUGCUUCCCAGUUAAAACCUGCCACUCCUGAGAAAUUUCUUCCUAAUGAAUUAGAGAAAACAAAAUCUACUAAAUACAGCACAUGGCAAGGAAGCAGACACACAAAGGUGCUGUUCUUAUUUGCCUUGAAAUUGUGUUGGGUGCUUGACUUCUUGGAGACCUCUUACCUUCCCCACCUUACAGACAGGUGUCGGAUGGGAAAUCUGGACACCCGGUGGGCAGUUUUUCCUUUUGGACCAUUCAUUCCCAAGAUCCCCGGAAUAAGCUAAUUCCUCUAUAGCUUCCCACACUGAGUUGCUAAGGGUGGAAGAAGAUUGCUUACAUUACGGGGGUAGAAGCUUAGUCCACGGCCCUACAGUUGGGGCGUCUGAAACAGGCGUGUGAAAAUAAACCAUACACGCAUUUAUUUUUAAAGCCUCCCCCAUAGCCACAGCAUAUCGGGAUUCGUACCAAAGGGCCUUAACUACUGGUGCGUCACUCCAUGAUGGUGAAUGAAGUGCUCAGAGCCCAGAGGGUCCAUCUUGUAGAUGAGACCUGGGGCUGCCACACUUGGCCCCCAUCAGGGUGCAGAGUUGCCGCGGGAAUGUGGGUCCUUCAGUACGACCUCCGCUAUUCCAUUGGAAGUGACCAUCAGCGCCUCCUGCUGGUGGGGUUGUUCCCCCCGGGCAGGUGAAGGCACAAUGAAUUGGGCACCAGGAAACAGGUUCCAGGCAGUGAUGCUGACAGACUGUGUGACCGCUCUUUUUUCUAUCCUGCCUCCAGUUCUUCAGCUAGAAUCCAGAGGGUUCUAUUAGGCCCUCUCUUACGCAGUGGUCGUAUUAGCUGGCUAAGGCUGCUGCCAUAACGUGCCACAGACUGAGCACCGGAAGCAACGGAGAUUUAUUUUCUCACAGUUUUGGGAGCCGGAAGUCUGAAAUCAAGGUGACAGCAGGGCUGGCUCCCUCUGAGGGCUGUGAGGGAAGGGUGCAUUCCAGGCCUCUGUCUUCUCCCUGUGUGUCUUCAUGUCCUCUGCCCUCUACGCACGGCUCUGUGCUCAAACUUUCCCUCUUUAUAAGGACAGAAGUCACACUGGAUUAGGCCUCACCCCAGGGACCUCACUUAGCUCCAUUACCUCUGUAAAGGCCUUAUCUCCAUAUAAGGUCACAUUCCAAAGUUCUGGGGAUUAGGACUUCAACAUAGGAAUUUUGGGGUGGAGUGAGGGCGCAUCAUUCAGCCCCGUAACUGCCAUCUUUCAGAUCUCCUUUCUAUUAGACGAUCUUAGAUAUUAGAUAAGUGUUCAGCCCCCCUGUAGGUGUAAGGAUCAAUUCUGAGACUCUCCCACAGGGAAGAGCCAGGGCACUGGUUCCUGAGGCACCCUGGGGACAGCUGCUCUCUCUGUCCUUGGCAGCUGUCUGCAGUGGCCAGAGGAGACUUGUCGGGAAAUUUACUCCUCACUUCAUAGGGAAGAGGCUAGGAAAAGGUGACUUUCUCCUUUGGGAAUCACAGACGGAGCAGCGGGGAGCACAACAGCCAUCAUUGCCAAAGGCAAACCGAGAAAAUCUUCCCUGUGACAAAUCCAAGAACAGCUCGAUUUAGACUUUGUGCUGGGGGAGAGGCAGACGACUGAUGAGAGAGUGCCAUCAUGGAGCCCACGCCAGCUUUCCACAUGCUUACCCUGGAUUUUAGCAGUAAAUUGUUGGGUGUUCACAUAGUGUGUUAUUUACUGUAUGGCACUUUAUCUGUGUUUAUAAACCAUAGGCUUGGUUUUCCUGCCAACUUCAGUGUGGGAUCAUUGAAAUUAAAAAGAAAGAAACCAAGUG